Molecule: ribosomal RNA, 728 nt
Filed under: Arthrobacter sp.
Lineage: Bacteria; Bacillati; Actinomycetota; Actinomycetes; Micrococcales; Micrococcaceae
Description: bacterial SSU rRNA
Rfam family: Bacterial small subunit ribosomal RNA
Source: RNAcentral
AAACGGGGUCUAAUACUGGAUAUUGACUUUACCUCGCAUGGGGUUUGGUUGAAAGAUUUAUUGGUUUUGGAUGGACUCGCGGCCUAUCAGCUUGUUGGUGAGGUAAUGGCUCACCAAGGCGACGACGGGUAGCCGGCCUGAGAGGGUGACCGGCCACACUGGGACUGAGACACGGCCCAGACUCCUACGGGAGGCAGCAGUGGGGAAUAUUGCACAAUGGGCGAAAGCCUGAUGCAGCGACGCCGCGUGAGGGAUGACGGCCUUCGGGUUGUAAACCUCUUUCAGUAGGGAACAAGGCCAGCAUUUUUGUUGGUUGAGGGUACUUGCAGAAGAAGCGCCGGCUAACUACGUGCCAGCAGCCGCGGUAAUACGUAGGGCGCAAGCGUUAUCCGGAAUUAUUGGGCGUAAAGAGCUCGUAGGCGGUUUGUCGCGUCUGCCGUGAAAGUCCGGGGCUCAACCCCGGAUCUGCGGUGGGUACGGGCAGACUAGAGUGAUGUAGGGGAGACUGGAAUUCCUGGUGUAGCGGUGAAAUGCGCAGAUAUCAGGAGGAACACCGAUGGCGAAGGCAGGUCUCUGGGCAUUAACUGACGCUGAGGAGCGAAAGCAUGGGGAGCGAACAGGAUUAGAUACCCUGGUAGUCCAUGCCGUAAACGUUGGGCACUAGGUGUGGGGGACAUUCCACGUUUUCCGCGCCGUAGCUAACGCAUUAAGUGCCCCGCCUGGGGAGU